RNAcentral lists this non-coding RNA (22 nucleotides) under Arabidopsis thaliana (thale cress). The record is from RNAcentral. Lineage: Eukaryota; Viridiplantae; Streptophyta; Magnoliopsida; Brassicales; Brassicaceae.
AUGUGAUCGAGUGCUUGGUCGA